CCCUUAGAUGUUCUGGGCCGCACGCGUGCUACACUGAGUGGAUCAGCGGGUCAGGUUGCGCGAAAGCGUUUCCUAAUCUUGAAAUCCGCUCGUGAUGGGGAUUGACGGUUGCAAUUUUCUGUCAUGAACGAGGAAUACCUUGUAAGCGCGAGUCAUCAUCCCGCGCUGAAUACGUCCCUGCCCUUUGUACACACCGCCCGUCGCUCCUACCGAUUGAGUGGUCCGGUGAGGCUUUGGGAUCUGAGCGGAAAGAGCGUUUCGCUCGUUCUGCCCGGAAACCUCAGUCGAACCUUAUCAUUUAGAGGAAGGAGAAGUCGUAACA
This 322-nucleotide ribosomal RNA is filed under the name uncultured eukaryote. RNAcentral's name for it is "partial 18S ribosomal RNA". It matches the Rfam family "Eukaryotic small subunit ribosomal RNA", at positions 1470 to 1796 of the family's 1831-position model. The record is from RNAcentral.